Molecule: ribosomal RNA, 460 nt
Filed under: uncultured bacterium
Lineage: Bacteria
Description: partial 16S ribosomal RNA
Rfam family: Bacterial small subunit ribosomal RNA
Source: RNAcentral
CCUACGGGUGGCAGCAGUGAGGAAUAUUCGUCAAUGGACGAGAGUCUGAACCAGCCAAGUCGCGUGAAGGAUGACGGCCCUAUGGGUUGUAAACUUCUUUUAUAUGGGAAUAAAGUUGAGUAUGUAUACUGCCUUUUAUGUACCAUAUGUAUAAGGAUCGGCUAACCACGUGCCAGCCGCCGCGGUAAUACGGAGGAUCCGAGCGUUAUCCGGAUUUAUUGGGUUUAAAGGGAGCGGAGGCGGUCGCAUAAGUCAGAUGUGAAAGUUGGCGGCUCAACCGUAGAAUUGCAUUUGAUACUGUGUGUCUUGAGUGCAGCAGAGGAGGGCGGAACUCGAGGUGUAGCGGUGGAAUGCGUAGAUAUAACGAAGAACUCCGAUUGCGAAGGCAGCUUACUGGACUGUAACUGACGCUGAGGCUCGAAAGUAUGGGUAUCGAACAGGAUUAGAUACCCCAGUAGUC